RNAcentral lists this ribosomal RNA (1469 nucleotides) under human gut metagenome. Its description in RNAcentral is "bacterial LSU rRNA". It matches the Rfam family "Bacterial large subunit ribosomal RNA", at positions 1135 to 2637 of the family's 2925-position model. The record is from RNAcentral.
UAAUAGCUCACUAGUCGAGAGGUCCUGCGCCGAAAAUGUCCGGGGCUGAAACACGACACCGAAGCUUAGGAAUCGAAAGAUUGGUAGAGGAGCAUUGAAUACGGAACGAAGCAGUACCGGAAGGAGCUGUGGACUGUAUUGAAGAGAGAAUGCCGGAAUGAGUAGCGAGAUUUAAGUGAGAAUCUUAAAGGCCGAAUAUCUAAGGUUUCCAGGGUAAAGCUGAUCUUCCCUGGGUAAGUCGGGGCCUAAGGCGAGGACGAAAGUCGUAGUCGAUGGAUAACAGGUUGAAAUUCCUGUACCGCAUAUAUUCAGAAAUGUGGGGACACAGAUGGAGAGUACAGCCCGGGAAUGGAUAGACCGGGGCAAGCGAGGUAGGAGAAUGGCAGGCAAAUCCACCAUUCAAUCUGAAGACGUGACGCGUACCGAACAAGAGUAGGGAAGUGUAUGAGCCAGCUGUCGAGAAAAGCCGCUAUUGUGAUAUAUGCGCCCGUACCGUAAACCGACACAGGUGGAUGAGGAGAGAAUCCUAAGGCCGGCGGGAGAAGUGUUGUUAAGGAACUCGGCAAAAUGACCCCGUAACUUCGGGAGAAGGGGUGCCUCGGAAGAGGCCGCAGAGAAAUGGCCCAAGCAACUGUUUAGCAAAAACAUAGGUCUAUGCAAAACCGAAAGGUGAGGUAUAUGGGCUGACGCCUGCCCGGUGCUGGAAGGUUAAGAGGAGAGCUUAGCGCAAGCGAAGGUUUGAAUUUAAGCCCCAGUAAACGGCGGCCGUAACUAUAACGGUCCUAAGGUAGCGAAAUUCCUUGUCGGGUAAGUUCCGACCCGCACGAAAGGCGUAAUGAUUUGGGCACUGUCUCAACAACACACCCGGUGAAAUUGAAAUACCAGUGAAGAUGCUGGUUACCUGCGCCAGGACGGAAAGACCCCAUGGAGCUUUACUCCAGCUUGAUACUGGGAUUCGGUACUACCUGUACAGGAUAGGUGGGAGGCUAUGAUCACGGGACGCCAGUUUCGUGUGAGCCGCUGUUGGGAUACCACCCUUGUAGUACUGGAUUCCUAACCUACAGCCGUGAACCGGCUGGGGGACAAUGUCUGGCGGGGAGUUUGACUGGGGCGGUCGCCUCCGAAAGGGUAUCGGAGGCGCUCAAAGGUUCCCUCAGAAUGGUUGGAAACCAUUCGAAGAGUGCAAAGGCAGAAGGGAGCUUGACUGCGACACCGACGGGUGGAGCAGGUACGAAAGUAGGACUUAGUGAUCCGGUGGUAUAAAGUGGGAUUGCCAUCGCUCAACGGAUAAAAGCUACCCUGGGGAUAACAGGCUUAUCACUCCCAAGAGUUCACAUCGACGGAGUGGUUUGGCACCUCGAUGUCGGCUCAUCGCAUCCUGGAGCUGUAGCAGGUUCCAAGGGUUGGGCUGUUCGCCCAUUAAAGCGGUACGCGAGCUGGGUUCAGAACGUCGUGAGACAGUUCGGUCC